ACACGGCCCAGACUCCUACGGGAGGCAGCAGUAGGGAAUCUUCCACAAUGGACGAAAGCCUGAUGGAGCAACGCCGCGUGAGUGAAGAAGGUUUUCGGAUCGUAAAACUCUGUUGUAAGGGAAGAACAAGUACAGUAGUAACUGGCUGUACCUUGACGGUACCUUAUUAGAAAGCCACGGCUAACUACGUGCCAGCAGCCGCGGUAAUACGUAGGUGGCAAGCGUUGUCCGGAAUUAUUGGGCGUAAAGCGCGCGCAGGCGGUUCCUUAAGUCUGAUGUGAAAGCCCACGGCUCAACCGUGGAGGGUCAUUGGAAACUGGGGGACUUGAGUGCAGAAGAGGAAAGUGGAAUUCCAAGUGUAGCGGUG
This 367-nucleotide ribosomal RNA is filed under the name Streptococcus salivarius. RNAcentral describes it as "bacterial SSU rRNA". It matches the Rfam family "Bacterial small subunit ribosomal RNA", at positions 324 to 683 of the family's 1533-position model. The record is from RNAcentral. Lineage: Bacteria; Bacillati; Bacillota; Bacilli; Lactobacillales; Streptococcaceae.